RNAcentral lists this ribosomal RNA (348 nucleotides) under uncultured fungus. Its description in RNAcentral is "SSU rRNA". It matches the Rfam family "Eukaryotic small subunit ribosomal RNA", at positions 20 to 370 of the family's 1831-position model. Lineage: Eukaryota; Fungi. The record is from RNAcentral.
GUAGUCAUAUGCUUGUCUCAAAGAUUAAGCCAUGCAUGUCUAAGUAUAAGCAACUUGUACAGUGAAACUGCGAAUGGCUCAUUAAAUCAGUUAUCGUUUAUUUGAUAAUCCCUUACUACAUGGAUACCUGUGGUAAUUCUAGAGCUAAUACAUGCUUCAAGGAGUGGCUUUCGUCACUCUGCACUUAUUAGAUAAAAAACCAAUGCCCCUUUGGGGCUCCUUGGUGAUUCAUAAUAAUUUAGCGGACCGCAUUCCCUCGAGGAGGCGGUGGAUCAUUCAAAUUUCUGCCCUAUCAACUUUCGAUGGUAGGAUAGUGGCCUACCAUGGUUUCAACGGGUAACGGGGAAU